This is a non-coding RNA of Ictidomys tridecemlineatus (thirteen-lined ground squirrel), 69 nucleotides long. Lineage: Eukaryota; Metazoa; Chordata; Mammalia; Rodentia; Sciuridae. The record is from Rfam.
GGGGUUGUGGCUCAGUGGCAGAGCACUUGCCUAGCAUGUGUGAGGCACUGGGUUCGAUUCUCAGCACCA